Molecule: long non-coding RNA, 566 nt
Filed under: Bos taurus (domestic cattle)
Lineage: Eukaryota; Metazoa; Chordata; Mammalia; Artiodactyla; Bovidae
Description: long non-coding RNA NONBTAT006178
Source: RNAcentral
UUGGUUUGCUUUUACAUUUAUGAAUUAAAAAGGGAUCUGGGAGUUAAUCUAAGGAAAAUUGCAAUUUUUCCUAAUUCUAGUAUACAUAAUAAUAUGCUCAAUUAUUAAGCAAGUAGUGACAGUCCAGUCUGUCCAGGGCAUGCGAAUUUGAAAACAACUGAAAUCCUACCAAGAUGGUUUAAAUUUAGCUGAAUCUUGCUUUUCCCCUGUUGUGUCCCACAGUACAUAAAAUCCUUGCUUUUAUCAGGGUUAUAAUUUCAGUUUGGUAAAUCAGUAUAAAGUGUACAGCAAUAUCUUUAUAAUGCCUUCCCAUCAGGGGUGACAUUUGAAAACCAUUUUCACCUGUAUUUGAUACUAGUCCUUUUCAUAAACAGAAUCUGAACACUUCACAAUUAAUUGUAAAGAGGAUGCCAUUUUAUAGAUCCUAGUUUUAUAAAGAAAUGUGUUUUGCCUUCAUCUCAUAGGGAACAAAAAACAAACCUAAAUACAUAAACCACAAAGUAAAGGCUUUAACUUGUGAUAAUACAUUUUUUUAAAAGACGAGGCUUGCCUUCUGAAAACACUGU